Molecule: ribosomal RNA, 253 nt
Filed under: uncultured bacterium
Lineage: Bacteria
Description: partial 16S ribosomal RNA
Rfam family: Bacterial small subunit ribosomal RNA
Source: RNAcentral
UACGGGGGGGGCAAGCGUUGUUCGGAAUUACUGGGCGUAAAGGGCCAGUAGGCGGCCAACUAAGUCGGAUGUGAAAUCCCCAGGCUCAACUUGGGAACUGCAUCCGAUACUGGAUGGCUUGAAUUCGGGAGAGGGAUGCAGAAUUCCAGGUGUAGCGGUGAAAUGCGUAGAUAUCUGGAGGAACACCCGUAGCGAAGGCGGCACUCUGGGCCGAUACUGACACUGAGGAGCGAAAGCGUGGGGAGCGAACAGG